This 1179-nucleotide long non-coding RNA is filed under the name Musa acuminata (dwarf banana). Its description in RNAcentral is "long non-coding RNA (MACU_LNC005330)". The record is from RNAcentral. Lineage: Eukaryota; Viridiplantae; Streptophyta; Magnoliopsida; Zingiberales; Musaceae.
ACUUGGUAUUGGUUUGAGAUUUAGAUCCUUGAUUAUGAGAUCACAAUUAUAUAACUUUUAGACAAAAAUAUAUAUUGGCUUCAUAAGUGUUUGUGGGCUAAGCAAUUUUGCUUUAUCUGGUUCAACAUUGAGCGUGCCAUCUAGUGGGCUAAUGUUAUUAGGCAUACCGAGUUGUUCGCUUAUUGUUACUGAGAUAGAGCUGUACAGAAUGAUAAGUCUACCACUCUAUUAUUGAUGAUCAUCGCGCGCCCACAACCAAUGAUUUAAGAAGCGCUAGGCGCCAAAAGGCGCCAAGGUCCAAAAACGCCCGAGGCGCUAGGCGCUCGCCCGAGCGAAGCGAGGCGCUAAAAUAUAAAAAUAUAUAAUAUAAUUAAUAAAUAUAAUUAUUUAAAAUUUUAAAUAAAAAUAUGCUAUUUUAAAUAAAAAUUCUAGUCGCGAGCAGAGGGAAGGCUCACGGGAGGGCUCGCGGGAGCCGCGAGCAGCUGGGAGGGCUCGCUGGAGGCGCGAGCAGGGAGUCGCGAGCAGAGGGAAGGCUCGCGGGAGGGCUCACGGGAGGCGCGAGCAGCGAGAGUCGCGAGCAGUGGGAAGGCUCGUGAGAGGGCUCGCGGGAGGCGCGAGCAGCGGGAGGGCUCGCGGGAGUCGCGAGCAGCGGGAGGGCUCGCGGGAGGCGCGAGCAGUUGGAGAGCUCGCGGGAGGCGCGAGCAGCGGCAGCGGGAGCAGGAGCGACGAGCAGCGAGAUCGGGAGCGGCAGCGGCAGCGGGUUAGGGUUGGGUAAGGGUUAUAUCGGUUUAGUUGGUUCGAUUGAACCAACUAACAACCGAACCAGGACCGAACCAGACCUAAAAUCCUGGUUUGGUCACUUGGUUUACCUAGGCGCUCGCCCGAAGCGCCCAGNNNNNNNNNNNNNNNNNNNNUCGGGAGCGGCAGCGGCAGCGGGUUAGGGUUGGGUAAGGGUUAUAUCGGUUUAGUUGGUUCGAUUGAACCAACUAACAACCGAACCAGGACCGAACCAGACCUAAAAUCCUGGUUUGGUCACUUGGUUUACCUAGGCGCUCGCCCGAAGCGCCCAGCGCCUGGGCUUGGGCGAGCGCCCAGGCGGCGCCUGUUUGAAGCGCGCCGCCUGGGACAUUAGCGAGGCGCUCGGGCGAGGUGAGCGCCCGAGCGCCUCUUUCAAUCACU